This 67-nucleotide transfer RNA is filed under the name Marmota monax (woodchuck). Its description in RNAcentral is "tRNA.Ala". Lineage: Eukaryota; Metazoa; Chordata; Mammalia; Rodentia; Sciuridae. The record is from RNAcentral.
GGCUGUGGCUCAGUGGUGGAGUGCUCACCUAGCACGUGUAAGGACCUGGGUUCAAUCCUCAGCACCA